This 254-nucleotide ribosomal RNA is filed under the name uncultured bacterium. RNAcentral describes it as "partial 16S ribosomal RNA". It matches the Rfam family "Bacterial small subunit ribosomal RNA", at positions 524 to 776 of the family's 1533-position model. The record is from RNAcentral.
UACGUAGGGUGCAAGCGUUAAUCGGAAUUACUGGGCGUAAAGCGUGCGUAGGUGGUUUGUUAAGUCUGUUGUGAAAGCCCCGGGCUCAACCUGGGAAUGGCAAUGGAUACUGGCAGGCUAGAGUGCGGUAGAGGGUAGUGGAAUUCCCGGUGUAGCGGUGAAAUGCGCAGGAUAUCAGGAGGAACACCGGUGGCGAAGGCGGCUCUCUGGCCCGCAACUGACGCUGAGGCGCGAAAGCGUGGGGAGCAAACAGG